AAUAAAGUGCCUGAUAAAAGGGAUAUCUUGAUAGGAUAUAUAAUGUUUUAAACCUUUAUUA
This 61-nucleotide transfer RNA is filed under the name Stylochyrus rarior. Its description in RNAcentral is "tRNA-Ile". The record is from RNAcentral. Lineage: Eukaryota; Metazoa; Arthropoda; Arachnida; Mesostigmata; Ologamasidae.